This 679-nucleotide long non-coding RNA is filed under the name Setaria viridis. RNAcentral describes it as "long non-coding RNA (SVIR_LNC011402)". Lineage: Eukaryota; Viridiplantae; Streptophyta; Magnoliopsida; Poales; Poaceae. The record is from RNAcentral.
AACCCUCCCCGAUCGAUCAGCCCUUCGCAGUUACCUUGCUAGCUCCAAACAGAUACACCAACAUACAACCCUUCACAUCACAGACUACCCAAAAGACAAGUGAAGCAAGUACCUUGCACCAAACACUUGCUAACCUCUCCGAUGAGAAGGCACGGCAGCGAGGCUUCCCCUUCCAUCGUCCACACAUCUUCCAUAGCUCUCCUCCAAGAGAGGUUCAGGAACCUGCAGAAGGUGAAGGAGAUGAGGGAAGGAAGAGAGUUGCAGAAGGUGCACAGUACUGAUGCUGACCGUACCAGCUCCCUGUCCUCGGCUCUGAACCUUGGCCUGCAAGUGGCGAACAGCACCGAGCGGCCAAGGUGGUUCUUGCAUCCGGACUUGAUCCGGCCGUCUAGGCCCCUGCGCGGUCCGGUGUACCAUGGGCUUGGCGCCAACGGUGGCCAGACUUCGCCGCCAGCAGCAAGCUCGUGGGGAGGAAUGCAGAAUUCAGGCUAUAGGAGUGAUGUAGAUGUCGAUACCUCUCUUCAUCUGUAAUCUACUAUAAGCAUGUAUGGCCCUGCUGUUCUUUUCGUUAUUUUGUAUGGCUUCUGAGUUCUGGGCUUAUUUGCAGUACUUCUGUUGCAUUUUGGCCUUGUAACUUCUUUGGGUAUUUUACUAUAUAUGAGGCUUCCUAGAUAUACAU